GUCCAGGGUAGCCUAGUGGACAUGGCACCUGCCCGGUAAGCAGAAGGUUGUAGGUUCGAUUCCCGCCCCUCGACA
RNAcentral lists this transfer RNA (75 nucleotides) under Cordylochernes scorpioides. RNAcentral describes it as "tRNA-Thr". It matches the Rfam family "tRNA". Rfam says of the family: Transfer RNA (tRNA) molecules are approximately 80 nucleotides in length. Their secondary structure includes four short double-helical elements and three loops (D, anti-codon, and T loops). Further hydrogen bonds mediate the characteristic L-shaped molecular structure. tRNAs have two regions of fundamental functional importance: the anti-codon, which is responsible for specific mRNA codon recognition, and the 3' end, to which the tRNAs corresponding amino acid is attached (by aminoacyl-tRNA synthetases). tRNAs cope with the degeneracy of the genetic code in two manners: having more than one tRNA (with a specific anti-codon) for a particular amino acid; and 'wobble' base-pairing, i.e. permitting non-standard base-pairing at the 3rd anti-codon position. Lineage: Eukaryota; Metazoa; Arthropoda; Arachnida; Pseudoscorpiones; Chernetidae. The record is from RNAcentral.